This 468-nucleotide ribosomal RNA is filed under the name uncultured bacterium. Its description in RNAcentral is "partial 16S ribosomal RNA". It matches the Rfam family "Bacterial small subunit ribosomal RNA", at positions 28 to 507 of the family's 1533-position model. The record is from RNAcentral.
GACGAACGCUGGCGGCGUGCUUAACACAUGCAAGUCGAACGGAAAGGCCCUGCUUUUGUGGGGUGCUCGAGUGGCGAACGGGUGAGUAACACGUGAGUAACCUGCCCUUGACUUUGGGAUAACUUCAGGAAACUGGGGCUAAUACCGGAUAGGAGCUCCUGCUGCAUGGUGGUGGUUGGAAAGUUUCGGCGGUUGGGGAUGGACUCGCGGCUUAUCAGCUUGUUGGUGGGGUAGUGGCUUACCAAGGCUUUGACGGGUAGCCGGCCUGAGAGGGUGACCGGCCACAUUGGGACUGCGAUACGGACCAGAAUGCUACGGUAGGCAGCAGGGGAGAACAUUGCACAAUGGGCGGAAGCCUGAUGCAGCAACGCCGCGUGCGUGAUGACGGCCUUCGGGUUGUAAACCGCUUUCGCCUGUGACGAAGCGUGAGUGACGGUAAUGGGUAAAGAAGCACCGGCUAACUACGUG